AAGUUAUUAAAACAAAACAACAUAAUGAUCAGCAUGAAUGACUUAAAAAAAUAUGUUAAUUAUAUACCUAUGACUACAGUAAAAAGGACGUUAGAUAAUUUAUUAAAUAAUGACAUAUUUAUCGAGGCUAUUAGAUCAGUGACAUUUGAUGCGUAUAAAGAAAUGGACAAUGAUGAAAAUGCAGGAAAACGAACAAAGAGCAAUAGUAAAACAAUUGAUAAUAAUGAAAACGUUUAUACCAAUUUUUCAGUCGUUAUUAAUACUUUAGUAGAUUUUUUAAAAGAAGAAAAUGUACCAGGUAACAUAUUUAUGAAUAUAAAAGCUUUUUUUAAAAAGUUGAAUAAGUUAAACAACAAAUUGGCAAAACAGUUACUAAACGUUAAACUUCAAGAAAAUAGCUUCGAAUCAGAAUGGCCUGAACUAACUCUUAAUAAUCUUCAGUUUAUAUUGUCAAAAAUAUAUGUACGAUAUGUUUUAGACGAUAUGAUGGAUUCUAAAAAUAAUGUUCCAUUGGAAGGUGAUCAUACAGUUGAUGAUGAAUCACAUGAUAAUACUGAUAGUAAUAUUAUGGCUAGUGAUACAACGAAUGUACCGAGUGAUACAACGAAUGUACCGAGUGAAAUAACGAAUGUACCGAGUGAAAUAACGAAUGUACCGAGUGAUACAACGAAUGUACCGAGCGAUAAUAAACUCAAACAAGGCAUUAGCUUUUUUCAAAACUCUAUGGCCAUAACUGAAUCGUCAGCAGUUACAACUUUGAGUACUUUGCAAAAAGAGUUCGAUACAAAUUUGUCAGACGAUGAAGUUUUGUGUAAACUCAUUCCGAUAAAAAAAAAGAUAUUGUAUGAGAGACUAAACAGCACGAAAAGAAUAGCAGAAGAUGCCAUCAUAGACCAUUUGUUUAGAAUACUUCUUAAUAAAUUAACACAAUAUUUGAUAGAGUAAGUUCAAUUAGAUUCAUUUGUUUUUUUAUGUUUAAAUAAAAAAUGAAGUAUAUUGAUUGUACA
This 1007-nucleotide long non-coding RNA is filed under the name Piliocolobus tephrosceles (Ugandan red Colobus). Its description in RNAcentral is "lncRNA (ENSPTEG00000014752.1)". The record is from RNAcentral. Lineage: Eukaryota; Metazoa; Chordata; Mammalia; Primates; Cercopithecidae.